Molecule: ribosomal RNA, 253 nt
Filed under: Escherichia coli
Lineage: Bacteria; Pseudomonadati; Pseudomonadota; Gammaproteobacteria; Enterobacterales; Enterobacteriaceae
Description: partial 23S ribosomal RNA
Rfam family: Bacterial large subunit ribosomal RNA
Source: RNAcentral
CAAAAUGUAACGGAGGCGCCCAAAGGUUCCCUCAGCCUGGUUGGCAAUCAGGUGUCGAGUGCAAGUGCACAAGGGAGCUUGACUGUGAGACUGACAGGUCGAGCAGGGACGAAAGUCGGGACUAGUGAUCCGGCACCGGCAAGUGGAAGCGGUGUCGCUCAACGGAUAAAAGGUACCCCGGGGAUAACAGGCUGAUCUUCCCCAAGAGUCCAUAUCGACGGGAUGGUUUGGCACCUCGAUGUCGGCUCGUCGC